This 715-nucleotide ribosomal RNA is filed under the name uncultured bacterium. RNAcentral's name for it is "bacterial SSU rRNA". It matches the Rfam family "Bacterial small subunit ribosomal RNA", at positions 127 to 882 of the family's 1533-position model. The record is from RNAcentral.
UGCCCAGAUCUAAGGAAUAGCCACUGGAAACGGUGAGUAAUACCUUAUACGCCCUUCGGGGAAAGAUUUAUCGGAUUUGGAUCGGCCCGCGUUAGAUUAGGUAGUUGGUGGGGUAACGGCCUACCAAGCCUACGAUCUAUAGCUGGUUUUAGAGGAUGAUCAGCAACACUGGGACUGAGACACGGCCCAGACUCCUACGGGAGGCAGCAGUGGGGAAUCUUGGACAAUGGGCGCAAGUGAUCCAGCCAUGCCGCGUGAGUGAUGAAGGCCUUAGGGUCGUAAAGCUCUUUCGCCAGGGAUGAUAAUGACAGUACCUGGUAAAGAAACCCCGGCUAACUCCGUGCCAGCAGCCGCGGUAAUACGGAGGGGGUUAGCGUUGUUCGGAAUUACUGGGCGUAAAGCGUACGUAGGCGGAUCAGAAAGUUGGGGGUGAAAUCCCGGGGCUCAACCCCGAACUGCCUCCAAAACUCCUGGUCUAGAGUUCGAGAGAGGUGAGUGGAAUUCCGAGUGUAGAGGUGAAAUUCGUAGAUAUUCGGAGGAACACCAGUGGCGAAGGGGCUCACUGGCUCGAUACUGACGCUGAGGUACGAAAGUGUGGGGAGCAAACAGGAUUAGAUACCCUGGUAGUCCACACCGUAAACGAUGAAUGCCAGUCGUCGGGUAGCAUGCUAUUCGGUGACACACCUAACGGAUUAAGCAUUCCGCCUGGGGAGUA